Molecule: small RNA, 143 nt
Filed under: Brucella daejeonensis
Lineage: Bacteria; Pseudomonadati; Pseudomonadota; Alphaproteobacteria; Hyphomicrobiales; Brucellaceae
Description: Ochrobactrum daejeonense sRNA ar35
Rfam family: Alphaproteobacterial sRNA ar35
Source: RNAcentral
AUCGGCAAUGCUUGAGAGCGCUGGAACGCGUCUGUCGCUCGCAAUUGCCAUCAUCGCCUGCUGCUUUUGACCACGGAUGUACUGGCACUGGCGAACAGAGCGAUGUCAGGAAGGUCGGUGCUUUUGCUCCGGCCUUUUUUGUU